UGGGGAAUAUUGGACAAUGGGGGCAACCCUGAUCCAGCAAUGCCGCGUGUGUGGAGAAGGUCUUCGGAUUGUAAAGCACUUUCGACGGGGACGAUGAUGACGGUACCCGUAGAAGAAGCCCCGGCUAACUUCGUGCCAGCAGCCGCGGUAAUACGAAGGGGGCUAGCGUUGCUCGGAAUGACUGGGCGUAAAGGGCGUGUAGGCGGUUUACACAGUCAGAUGUGAAAUCCCCGGGCUUAACCUGGGAGCUGCAUUUGAUACGUGUAGACUAGAGUGUGAGAGAGGGUUGUGGAAUUCCCAGUGUAGAGGUGAAAUUCGUAGAUAUUGGGAAGAACACCGGUGGCGAAGGCGGCAACCUGGCUCAUGACUGACGCUGAGGCGCGAAAGCGUGGGGAGCAAACAGGAUUAGAUACCCUGGUAGUCCACGCUGUAAACGAUGUGUGCUAGAUGUUGGGUAACUUUGUUAUUCAGUGUCGCAGUUAACGCGUUAAAGCACACCGCCUGGGGAGUACGGCCGCAAGG
RNAcentral lists this ribosomal RNA (522 nucleotides) under uncultured bacterium. RNAcentral's name for it is "partial 16S ribosomal RNA". It matches the Rfam family "Bacterial small subunit ribosomal RNA", at positions 355 to 893 of the family's 1533-position model. The record is from RNAcentral.